GAUGAACGCUGGCGGCGUGCCUAACACAUGCAAGUCGAACGAAGCAAUUANAAUGAAGUUUUCGGAUGGAUUUCUGAUUGNNUGAGUGGCGGACGGGUGANUAACGCGUGGAUNACCUGCCUCACANNGGGGGAUAACAGUUANAAAUGGGUGCUAAUACCGCAUAAGCGCACAGNACCGCANGGUACGGUGUGAAAAACUCCGGUGGUGUGAGAUGGAUCCGCGUCUGAUUACUUAUUUGGCGGGGUAACGGCCCACCAAGACAGCGAUCAGUACCCGACCUGAGAGGGUGACCGGCCACAUUGGGACUGAGACACGGCCCAAACUCCUACGGGAGGCAGCAGUGGGGAAUAUUGCACAAUGGGCGAAAGCCUGAUGCAGCGACCCCGCGUGAGUGAAGAAGUAUUUCGGUAUGUAAAGCUCUAUCAGCAGGGAAGAAACUGACGGUACCUGACUAAAAAGCCCCGGCUAACUACGUGCCAGCAGCCGCGGUAAUACGUAGGGGGCAAGCGUUAUCCGGAUUUACUGGGUGUAAAGGGAGCGUACACGGCGAAGCAAGUCUGGAGUGAAAACCCAGGGCUCAACCCUGGGACUGCUUUGGAAACUGUUUUGCUAGAGUGUCAGAGAGGUAAGUGGAAUUCCUAGUGUAGCGGUGAAAUGCGUAUAUAUUAAGAGGAACACCAGUGGCGAACGCGGCUUACUGGACGAUAACUGACGUUGAGGCUCGAAAGCGUGGAGAGCAAACAAGGAUUAUAUACUCUGGUAGUCCACGCCGUAAACGAUGAAUGCUAUGUGUUGGGGGGGCAAAGCUCUUCGGUGCCGUCGCAAACGCAAUAAGCACUACCACCUGGGGAGUACGUUCGCAGAAUGAUCUCAGGAGGUAUUCGACGGACACCCGCACAGGCGGUAGCAGCAUGG
Molecule: ribosomal RNA, 918 nt
Filed under: uncultured bacterium
Lineage: Bacteria
Description: bacterial SSU rRNA
Rfam family: Bacterial small subunit ribosomal RNA
Source: RNAcentral